Molecule: ribosomal RNA, 252 nt
Filed under: uncultured bacterium
Lineage: Bacteria
Description: partial 16S ribosomal RNA
Rfam family: Bacterial small subunit ribosomal RNA
Source: RNAcentral
UACAGAGGGUGCGAGCGUUAAUCGGAAUUACUGGGUGUAAGGGGCGCGUAGGCGGUAAGAUGUGUGUGUUGUGAAAGCCCCGGGCUUAACCUGGAAGUGCAAUGCAAACUAUCUAACUAGAGUAUAUGAGAGGGUGGCGGAAUUUCCGGUGUAGCGGUGAAAUGCGUAGAGAUCGGAAGGAACGUCAAUGGCGAGGUCAGCCACCUGGCAUAAUACUGACGCUGAGGCGCGAAAGCGUGGGGAGCGAACAGG